UGUUUCUCUUAUGAUUAAGCGCUGGGAGUUGAAGACAACAGAACCUAUACUGGGGUGUGAGCCUGACAAUUUCUCUCUCUGGCCUUCCGAACUCAAUCGGCAAUCGAUAAACACAGUAAAACAUGGCCUCGAAGGAUGGAGUGAGUGAAGCGGAAGAGUUUGUGUACAGGAUUAGCACCGUUAAGGAAAGGGAAGAGUUUCAGAAAACUGGAUCUCUCUACGGCGGAGAACUUGAUAAGUCUACUGGUUUCAUCCAUCUCAGCAAACGCCAUCAGGUACUGUCAACAUUGCAGAAGUUUUUCUUGAACACUAAGGAGGAGUUGUACUUGCUUCAAAUUGAUGCUAAGAUGCUUGGUGAUGGAUUGGUAUAUGAAGUUGUGGAUGGUUCCAAUAGCUUCCCUCAUUUUUAUGGCCCAUCCCGAAGUUUCAGUCCUCUCCCCUCACAUGCGGUCAUGAAAGCAGAGAAGCUGUCUCUAUCAGGUGGCCAGUUCAGAUGUAGUUUGCUGGAGUUCAAUCUUCUGCAUAAAGCAAGUGCCUUGGAAUGAUUUUGAAGUAACCGAGUUGUAUCUGCUUCUCUCAAAGAUAGCGGUUUGAAAUGAAACAGAGAUAUAAAUGUGGACACAAGUGCCCUGGACCUUGGCAUUAUUGUUAUUGGAUAUGUGAAAUCAUGUUGACUGCUGAGUGCUGAGAACAAUACAUUCACACGAUUUGUGAAAGUUUCUUGGUUCUUUCAACGAAAUUUUACUCGAGAA
Juglans microcarpa x Juglans regia is the source of this 752-nucleotide RNA transcript. RefSeq lists it as uncharacterized. The record is from RefSeq and is a predicted model, not a curated record. The transcript is spliced from 6 exons. NCBI's taxonomy places the organism in Eukaryota, Viridiplantae, Streptophyta, Magnoliopsida, Fagales, Juglandaceae.